Molecule: ribosomal RNA, 376 nt
Filed under: uncultured bacterium
Lineage: Bacteria
Description: partial 16S ribosomal RNA
Rfam family: Bacterial small subunit ribosomal RNA
Source: RNAcentral
CCUACGGGAGGCAGCAGUAGGGAAUUUUCGUCAAUGGGCGCAAGCCUGAACGAGCGAUGCCGCGUGAGUGAAGAAGGCCUUCGGGUCGUAAAGCUCUGUUUCGGGGGAAAAAAGGCAGCAUCAGGAAAGGGGUGCUGACUGAUGGUGCCCCGCCAGAAAGUCACGGCUAACUACGUGCCAGCAGCCGCGGUAAUACGGAGGUGGCGGGCGUUAUCCGGAAUGAUUGGGCGUAAAGGGUGCGCAGGCGGUCCUGCAAGUCUGGAGUGAAACGCAUGGGCUAAACUCAGGCAUGGCUGUGGAAACUGGGGGACUGGAGAGCGGGGAAGGUAGGUGGAAGUCGAUGUGUAGCGGUAAAAUGCGUAGAUAUAUGGAAGAA